Molecule: ribosomal RNA, 227 nt
Filed under: uncultured bacterium
Lineage: Bacteria
Description: partial 16S ribosomal RNA
Rfam family: Bacterial small subunit ribosomal RNA
Source: RNAcentral
UGAGCAAUCUGCCCUUCUCUUUGGAAUAAGCGUUGGAAACGACGUCUAAUGCCGAAUACGACCUCCUUUCGCAUGAUCGGAGGUGGAAAGCUCCGGCGGAGAAGGAUGAGCUCGCGGCCUAUUAGCUAGUUGGUGAGGUAACGGCUCACCAAGGCAACGAUGCGUAGCCGACCUGAGAGGGUGAUCGGCCACAUUGGAACUGAGACACGGCCCAGACUCCUAGGAGG